RNAcentral lists this ribosomal RNA (465 nucleotides) under Vreelandella stevensii. RNAcentral describes it as "partial 16S ribosomal RNA". It matches the Rfam family "Bacterial small subunit ribosomal RNA", at positions 338 to 795 of the family's 1533-position model. Lineage: Bacteria; Pseudomonadati; Pseudomonadota; Gammaproteobacteria; Oceanospirillales; Halomonadaceae. The record is from RNAcentral.
CCUACGGGAGGCUGCAGUGGGGAAUAUUGGACAAUGGGGGGAACCCUGAUCCAGCCAUGCCGCGUGUGUGAAGAAGGCCCUCGGGUUGUAAAGCACUUUCAGUGAGGAAGAACGCCUGGUGGUUAAUACCCAUCAGGAAAGACAUCACUCACAGAAGAAGCACCGGCUAACUCCGUGCCAGCAGCCGCGGUAAUACGGAGGGUGCGAGCGUUAAUCGGAAUUACUGGGCGUAAAGCGCGCGUAGGUGGCUUGAUAAGCCGGUUGUGAAAGCCCCGGGCUCAACCUGGGAACGGCAUCCGGAACUGUCAAGCUAGAGUGCAGGAGAGGAAGGUAGAAUUCCCGGUGUAGCGGUGAAAGGCGUAGAGAUCGGGAGGAAUACCAGUGGCGAAGGCGGCCUUCUGGACUGACACUGACACUGAGGUGCGAAAGCGUGGGUAGCAAACAGGAUUAGAUACCCCAGUAGUC